This 463-nucleotide ribosomal RNA is filed under the name uncultured bacterium. Its description in RNAcentral is "partial 16S ribosomal RNA". It matches the Rfam family "Bacterial small subunit ribosomal RNA", at positions 28 to 507 of the family's 1533-position model. The record is from RNAcentral.
GAUGAACGCUGACAGAAUGCUUAACACAUGCAAGUCGAUGGGGAAGUGGUGCUUGCACCAUGGUAACCAUGGCGGACGGGUGAGUAACGCGUAAGGAACUUGCCUGCGGGACUGGGAUAACAGCAGGAAACUGCUGAUAAUACCGGAUAAGGUCAUUAAGCUGCAUAGCUUAGUGAUGAAAGGAGACGCCUGCGGAGAGCCUUGCGUCCUAUUAGCUAGUUGGAGGGGUAACGGCCCACCAAGGCGAAGAUAGGUAGCCGGCCUGAGAGGGUGGACGGCCACAAGGGGACUGAGAUACGGCCCUUACUCCUACGGGAGGCAGCAGUGGGGAAUAUUGGACAAUGGGGGCAACCCUGAUCCAGCAAUUCUGUGUGCACGAAGACGGUUUUCGGAUUGUAAAGUGCUCUCAGCAGGGAAGAAGGAAGUGACGGUACCUGCAGAAGAAGCGACGGCUAAAUACGUG